Molecule: long non-coding RNA, 3149 nt
Filed under: Sus scrofa (pig)
Lineage: Eukaryota; Metazoa; Chordata; Mammalia; Artiodactyla; Suidae
Description: lncRNA (ENSSSCG00025051407.1)
Source: RNAcentral
AUACAUGCUGUGGUAGGCUUGCAGUUAACUUCUUCCACCUGGUGGGGGUUUUUUAAGUAUCGGCAAAACAGCUUAAGGACAUGGCACAGGAUAUUCCCUGCAGCUCUUGAAGAGGAACUAAAGAUGCAUCCCUUACCCCCCACACUGACUGGACAUUUUCCACAGAAUGAGGCAGACACUCCUUGUACCCGUGCCGUAAAGGACCUACAAGCCAAGUGUGUGGCUUACUAUGAAAGUAUUAGGAUCAUCAAGGGUGGGGCUUCCAGAAGUGGCAGCUAGCAGCUGUCAACAACUUCCAAAGACACCACAGUGAAUCCCUCAAGAAAAUCACAGGUUUAGAUUGAGACUCCCUCAGAUGUCCCCAAGUCCUGUAGCAAUUGGAAGGAAACCUCUGCUCCAGGAAGAGUCCAGAGAGGCUCCCGGAGAAGCAGAGCAGUGUUGGGACCAGAGGGCCCAGGAGGAGCCCAGGAGAAAGAGCCACGCACAGAACUGGACCUCCAGCUGUUGGCUGAUGCCUUUUCCCCAAGACACAGAAGUUGCCACAUGUUCUAAACUGAGCCCAGAAGUUGUUGUGCAGCCCUUCAGAAGAGCAUGGGUCACAGAGAAGUGGAGCUCCCGUUGUGGCACAGUGGAAAUGAAUCCAACUAGUAUCCAUGAGGAUGAAGGUUUGAUCCCUGGCCCCGCUCAGUGGGUUAAGGAUCCGGCAUUGCAGUGAGCUGUGCUGUAGUUUGCAGACAUGGCUCAGAUCUGGCGUUGUUGUGGCUGUGGUGUAGGCUGGCAGCUGUAGCUCUGAUGCGAUCCCCUAGCCUGGAAACUUCCAUAUGCUGUGGGUGUGGCCCUGAACCNNNNNNNNNNNNNNNNNNNNNNNNNNNNNNNNNNNNNNNAAAAAAAAAAAAAAAGAAAGAAAAGCUCUAGAAAGUAAGAGAAGCACCCAUCUGGUCCUCUGAUUCCCCACCCCUGCUCAGAGAAAACCAGUCCUGCACUUACGCAGACAUGCACAGCUGCUCUUCAAGCCUCCAGAAUAACUUCUCAGAAACAGGCUUGUUUUCUGAAUUUCCCAGUUCCUUCCUGAAGGAAGGUUUCCCCAGCAGUCACUCCUGCAAGUGGCAAGAAACCACAGUUGGGAAUGAGGGGGGAGGCUCUCGCUGCCAGGGGUCCUCCUUACAGUUGGCAGCUGGAAAAUUCCGCUCAAUGGGGGUACAAUGGAGCAGGAACCGGUCCUGUUCAGACCCCCAGCAAGGAUGAGGUGUUUCUUGAGAGUCUGGGAGCUCAGCUGCAACUCAGGCGUCCUUGUGAAGAAAGUAAUGUUUUAAAGGAAACUGGGCAGAGCCCACCUGGCAAUCUUUACUUCUGGACCCCCUUGACAGACAGACAACUCAGAGGAGCAUGGGAAAAGUAAAGGGACACUGAGAAGGGAUGUUCCAGGCAAGACGUAUAGAAGGUUUUCGGGAAUUGCCUUGUCUCUCGCAAGAGACGGUAUGCUGGUUCAAAAACCACAGUGCUCUGUGGUGUUUCCCCCAACCCCCGGGAAGGUGUUUCCCUGUCACCCCUGGAGGCUGACAUCAGAGAGCAGGGGAGCUGUGGGGACCCACCCAAGGGUGUCACAGCAGAAUUCAAAGCUGGCAGCUUCUGAGGGGAAGACCCCCGUCCAGAUACUGCUUGAGAGUCAAAGUAUGCUCUCCUCUGACAGCCCCAGUGAGAGGAGAGUGGAAUCAGACAAUGUGGGGUUCACUCUAGUGUCCCCUCAAACUGAUAUGCAGCAUAAAAAUGAAUGAGAACAUGCCAUCAUGAAAUGCUAUGGAUAGGCUAUAUCACAGGGAGAAUGCCAGAGCCUGGCUCAACAGAAGUGUGGAGAGUUCUCCUAAAAGCAGCCAGUCUCUGAUGACUUAGAAGCCGUUUGACCUGACAUGUCCCCAAAGUUGUGUGGCUCCUCCAUUGAGUGUGUCAGAGGGCCCCUUGGAGAACGCUGUGUUUCACAUACAUUCAGACACCACUGUGUUCCAUGGACCCACUGCAGAGUCCUGUGGUAUGCACUGCAGCUCUUGAUUUAACCAACUGCCACCACCUGGGAUGGACAGAUCGGUACAGACACCCUGAGGGUCCUCGGGCACACAACGCAUGAGUAGAAGGAAAAGAUAACACCUUCAAGUCACCCCAUUUCCAGAGAGAUUUCCAAAACCAGUUUCAGGGAUCCUUCCCAUGCCAGGCUGUUGGUGGCAGCCUCUCCUGGAGUGAUGAGCCACAAUGGUCCAAGUCAGAGUUGGUAAUCACACCUCCAGAAGGGAGAGGCAAGUCUAGAGGUGCCAGCCUGGCCAGGGAGACCGGGAAGUGGAGAGAUGGGCAUGAGAGCCGUGCAGCCGUGGAAAGUGAGGGCAGCACCCAUCCCCAAGGAUGAGGCUACAUGCAAGAGGCAUCUCCGAAAGAGACCAGCUUCUGUACACCUCAAGACAAUUAUGGGAAGUUAUGUUCUGCUACCCCCAAAAUGACAUCUGGAAUGACCAGCUGUGGGGGAUACUGGGAAACGUCUAGUACUGCGUGUUUGGCCGCACCUGAAGCCUAUGGAGGUUCCCAGGCUAGGGGUCAAAUCGGAGCUGUAGCUGCUGGCAAUGCCUGAUCCAAGCCGUGUCUUCGACCUACACCACAGCUCACAGCAACACCAGAUCCUUAACCCACUGAGUGGGGCCAGGGAUCCAACUGGCAUCCUCAUGGAUACUCGUCAGAUUUGUUUCUGCUGAGCCACGACGGGAACUCAUAAUAUUACUCUUAGUGCAUUCUGGCUGAUACUGUUUAGUGAUUACACCCUCCGCCACCUCUUGAACCUUUUCUCUGUCUUUGAAUUAGCUCUAAGUUACGAGGAAGAGUCAUAAGAGAUAAAGUGACAGGUAAUAGGGCCAAUUUGUGAAGGUUUGAUGAUGCCACUGUGAGAACUGUAGCUUUUAAUUCCAAAGGUGAUGAGAAGAUAUUGGAGAUCAUUGGGCAGACUCUUAAAAAACAUAGUCGCAAUGCCAUGAUCAUACCCCACAAAAUCUGUAGUAAGUCACUGAUGUCAUCACACACCCAAGUGGUCAUACAUGCAUACUUUUAAUUAUCCCAUAAAUAUCAUACUUUGGGCUUUUUUUAAUCAGUAUCCAAAUAAAGGAGACACCUUU